Molecule: ribosomal RNA, 496 nt
Filed under: uncultured bacterium
Lineage: Bacteria
Description: partial 16S ribosomal RNA
Rfam family: Bacterial small subunit ribosomal RNA
Source: RNAcentral
GACGAACGCUGGCGGCGUGCCUAAUACAUGCAAGUUGAGCGCUGAAGGUUGGUACUUGUACCAACUGGAUGAGCAGCGAACGGGUGAGUAACGCGUGGGGAAUCUGCCUUUGAGCGGGGGACAACAUUUGGAAACGAAUGCUAAUACCGCAUAACAACUUUAAACACAAGUUUUAAGUUUGAAAGAUGCAAUUGCAUCACUCAAAGAUGAUCCCGCGUUGUAUUAGCUAGUUGGUGAGGUAAAGGCUCACCAAGGCGAUGAUACAUAGCCGACCUGAGAGGGUGAUCGGCCACAUUGGGACUGAGACACGGCCCAAACUCCUACGGGAGGCAGCAGUAGGGAAUCUUCGGCAAUGGAAGAAAGUCUGACCGAGCAACGCCGCGUGAGUGAAGAAGGUUUUCGGAUCGUAAAACUCUGUUGGUAGAGAAGAACGUUGGUGAGAGUGGAAAGCUCAUCAAGUGAGGUAACUACCCAGAAAGGGACGGCUAACUACGUG